GCUUGGCAGUAAAAGGCUGACACCAAACCAUCUGCCCGCCAGAUCAUUACAAGUAAAAACUUAAAACUCAAAGGACUUGACGGUGUCCCACACACAAUCUAGAGGAGCCUGUCCUAUAAUCGAUAAUCCACGAAAGACCUUACCACUUUUUGCCAAACAACCUAUAUACCGCCGUCGCAAGUUCACCUUCUGAGAGAAAUAAAGUGAACCCAAAAAUCAAACAUUUUUACGUCAGGUCAAGGUGUAGUUUAUAAAGCGGACAGAGAUGGGCUACAUUUCCUUUAUAAAGGAAACACGAAUGGCUAAAUGAAAAUUAGACCUAAAGGCGGAUUUAGUAGUAAAAUUGGAUUAGUAAGCCCAUUUGAAUGCACUGCCCUGGGACGCGC
Molecule: ribosomal RNA, 386 nt
Filed under: Madatyphlops sp. SBH-2015
Lineage: Eukaryota; Metazoa; Chordata; Lepidosauria; Squamata; Typhlopidae
Description: partial 12S ribosomal RNA
Rfam family: Bacterial small subunit ribosomal RNA
Source: RNAcentral